UCCUCCGCCUGCUGCGGGCAGAUCGCGUGGAUGUGGACGUCGAGCCCGCCCGCGGUGACGAUCUUGCCCUCGCCGGCGAUGACCUCGGUGCCGGGUCCGACGAUGAUCGUGACGCCGGGCUGGAUGUCCGGGUUGCCAGCCUUGCCAAUCGCCGCCACCCGGCCGUCCUUGAUGCCGAUGUCGGCCUUGACGAUACCCCAGUGGUCGAUGAUCAGCGCGUUGGUGAUGACGGUGUCAACCGCUCCGCCCUGCCGCGUCACCUGCGACUGGCCCAUGCCGUCGCGGA
This 286-nucleotide small RNA is filed under the name Skermanella stibiiresistens SB22. RNAcentral's name for it is "5' ureB small RNA". It matches the Rfam family "5' ureB small RNA". Lineage: Bacteria; Pseudomonadati; Pseudomonadota; Alphaproteobacteria; Rhodospirillales; Azospirillaceae. The record is from Rfam by way of RNAcentral.